RNAcentral lists this ribosomal RNA (550 nucleotides) under uncultured Glomeromycotina. RNAcentral describes it as "SSU rRNA". It matches the Rfam family "Eukaryotic small subunit ribosomal RNA", at positions 548 to 1098 of the family's 1831-position model. The record is from RNAcentral. Lineage: Eukaryota; Fungi; Glomeromycota.
UUGGAGGGCAAGUCUGGUGCCAGCAGCCGCGGUAAUUCCAGCUCCAAUAGCGUAUAUUAAAGUUGUUGCAGUUAAAAAGCUCGUAGUUGAAUUUCGGAAUCCAUCCGUCGGUCGGGCUUCACGGUCCGCACUGGUGUGAUGGAUUCCUACCUUCUGAAUAACCAGCAUGCUAUUAAUUUGGUGCGUUGGGGAAGCAGGACUGUUACCUUGAAAAAAUUAGAGUGCUUAAAGCAGGCUAGUGCCUGAAUACAUUAGCAUGGAAUAAUGAAAUAGGACGGCAUGGUUCUAUUUUGUUGGUUUCUAGGAUCACCGUAAUGAUUAAUAGGGAUAGUUGGGGGCAUAGUAUUCAAUUGUCAGAGGUGAAAUCCUUGGAUUUAUUGAAGACUAACUUCUGCGAAAGCAUUUGCCAAGGAUGUUUUCAUUAAUCAAGAACGAAAGUUAGGGGAUCGAAGACGAUCAGAUACCGUCGUAGUCUUAACCAUAAACUAUGCCGACUAGGGAUCGGACGAUGUUAAUUUUUUAAUGACUCGUUCGGCGCCUUACGGGAAAC